GCAAGUCGAGCGCACCCUUCGGGGUGAGUGGCGCACGGGUGCGUAACGCGUGGGAAUAUACCCUUGAGUGAAGAAUAACUGCUGGAAACGGUAGCUAAUACUUCAUAAUGACUUCGGUCCAAAGAUUUAUCGCUCAAGGAUUAGCCCGCGUCUGAUUAGAUAGUUGGUGAGGUAAUGGCUCACCAAGUCUACGAUCAGUAGGGGGUCUGAGAGGAUGAUC
RNAcentral lists this ribosomal RNA (220 nucleotides) under uncultured bacterium. RNAcentral describes it as "partial 16S ribosomal RNA". It matches the Rfam family "Bacterial small subunit ribosomal RNA", at positions 57 to 305 of the family's 1533-position model. The record is from RNAcentral.